This 485-nucleotide ribosomal RNA is filed under the name uncultured bacterium. Its description in RNAcentral is "partial 16S ribosomal RNA". It matches the Rfam family "Bacterial small subunit ribosomal RNA", at positions 29 to 506 of the family's 1533-position model. The record is from RNAcentral.
AUUGAACGCUGGCGACAUGCCUUACACAUGCAAGUCGAACGGCAGCACGGGUGCUUGCACCUGGUGGCGUGUGGCGAACGGGUGAGUAAUACAUCGGAACAUGUCCUGUAGUGGGGGAUAGCCCGGCGAAAGCCGGAUUAAUACCGCAUACGAUCUACGGAUGAAAGCGGGGGACCUUCGGGCCUCGCGCUAUAGGGUUGGCCGAUGGCUGAUUAGCUAGUUGGUGGGGUAAAGGCCUACCAAGGCGACGAUCAGUAGCUGGUCUGAGAGGACGACCAGCCACAAUGGGACGGGAACACGGCCCAGACACCCACGGGAGGGAGGAGUGGGGAAUUUUGGAAAAAGGGGGAAAGGCUGAACCAAGAAUGCCGGGGGUGGGAAGAAGGCCUUCGGGUUGGAAAGCAGUUUUGUCCGGAAAAAAAACCUUGGCCCUAAUACGGGCGGGGGAAGAAGGGACCGGAAGAAAAAACAACGGGUAACUACGG